AGUUAUAUGCUUGUCUCAAAGAUUAAGCCAUGCAUGUCUAAGUACAAGCAAAAAUAAAGUGAAACCGCAAAAGGCUCAUUAUAUCAGUUAUGGUUCCUUAGAUCGUAUCCACAAUUACUUGGAUAACUGUGGUAAUUCUAGAGCUAAUACAUGCAUUUAAAGAGAGAACAGUAAAAUGUAAUCUCUGCUUUUAUUAGAUUUAAACCAAUGGGAAGUGUUUCACUUUCAAUUAAACUGGUUGAACUCUGGAUAAUUUGUUGAUCGCAUGGUCUCGUACCGGCGACGGAUCUUUCAAAUGUCUGCCCUAUCAACUAUUGAAGGUAGUGUCUUGGACUACCUUGGUUGCAACGGGUAACGGGGAAUCAGGGUUCGAUUCCGGAGAGGGAGCCUGAGAAACGGCUACCACAUCUAAGGAAGGCAGCAGGCGCGUAAAUUACCCACUCCCAGCACGGGGAGGUAGUGACGAAAAAUAACAAUACAAGACUCACAUCCGAGGCCUUGUAAUUGGAAUGAGUACACUUUAAAUCCUUACACAAAGGUCCAUUGGAGGGCAAGUCUGGUGCCAGCAGCCGCGGUAAUUCCAGCUCCAAUAGCGUAUAUUAAAGUUGUUGCGGUUAAAACGUUCGUAGUUGAACCUGUGUUCCGCACGGGCAGUACCUAGGACUAGGUAACUAGGACGGUACCUGUCUUAUCUUUCUAGUUUCAUUCGUGGAAUUGGGAAAAGUGCGUGAGCGUAUUAUCGGCGUGUCUCUUUGAGUCACAUAAGCCCACUUCAGUCCUCUUAAUCGAGUGCUGGUUUGGGCCGAUACAAAUUACUUUGAACAAAUUAGAGUGCUUAAAGCAGGCUUGUAAUGCCUGAAUAUUUUGUGCAUGGAAUAAUGAAAUAGGACAUCUGUUCUACUUUCAUUGGUUUUUUAGACCAAGAUGUAAUGAUUAAUGGAAGCAGUUGGGGGCAUUAGUAUUACAACGCGAGAGGUGAAAUUCUUAGACCGUUGUAAGACUGACUAAAGCGAAAGCAUUUGCCAAAGAUGUUUUCAUUUAAUCAAGAACGAAAGUUAGAGGUUCGAAGGCGAUC
This 1075-nucleotide ribosomal RNA is filed under the name Sciophila rufa. RNAcentral describes it as "SSU rRNA". It matches the Rfam family "Eukaryotic small subunit ribosomal RNA", at positions 21 to 1009 of the family's 1831-position model. Lineage: Eukaryota; Metazoa; Arthropoda; Insecta; Diptera; Mycetophilidae. RNAcentral also lists the same sequence under 1 other name. The record is from RNAcentral.